RNAcentral lists this ribosomal RNA (449 nucleotides) under uncultured bacterium. RNAcentral describes it as "bacterial SSU rRNA". It matches the Rfam family "Bacterial small subunit ribosomal RNA", at positions 29 to 524 of the family's 1533-position model. The record is from RNAcentral.
AGCGAACGCUGGCGGCAGGCUUAACACAUGCAAGUCGAGCGCCGUAGCAAUACGGAGCGGCAGACGGGUGAGUAACGCGUGGGAACGUGCCUUUUGGUUCGGAACAACACAGGGAAACUUGUGCUAAUACCGGAUAAGCCCUUACGGGGAAAGAUUUAUCGCCAAAAGAUCGGCCCGCGUCUGAUUAGCUAGUUGGUGAGGUAACGGCUCACCAAGGCGACGAUCAGUAGCUGGCUGAGAGGAUGAUCAGCCACACUGGGACUGAGACACGGCCCAGACUCCUACGGGAGGCAGCAGUGGGAAUAUUGGACAAUGGGCGCAAGCCUGAUCCAGCCAUGCCGCGUGAGUGAUGAAGGCCCUAGGGUUGUAAAGCUCUUUUGUGCGGGAAGAUAAUGACGGUACCGCAAGAAUAACGCCCCGGCUAACUUCGUGCCAGCAGCCGCAGUAAG